CCCAGUGAUGCAGCUUGCAUUCUCAAGGCACUGGAGGUCUGGCUGCUGGUGGCUAAAAGCACAGCUCGCCUCUUCCAAGCCAGUCAACAUCUCUAUCUCCUGCCUGGCUGUUCAUGCAAAGAUCCACAGGUGAACACCUCCUCCAAGAGAAUACACCUGUUUUUUUCAGUGUGAAAAAACUCAGAUUAAAAUGGAAGAGGAAAACACACUGUAAAGCCCAGGAGCCCUAAAAGUUUUGUAACUGUAUUAUAGCCUUGCUGAGCAGUAAUGGUCAUCAGUGUGAUUUCACUGUGUAUGGGAGCUGUUGAAUCACGGCCUGAACCUCUGAUUGAGAACCUGAGGCAAGCGCUGAGUCAGCUGUGGGAGCACAGGUGAAGGCAUUUCACCUGUGUGACCGGAAGGGGUGGAACCUGGCUGCACUUCUCCUAGACCCCAUUUAAGGGCUGACUGCUACUGAGGAAGGGUCUCUUCCUGGAGAUUGCUCUUUGUGGAGUUUUUGUGAGCCUACAGUACUGGACAUGAAGGUCAGGCUUUUGUAUCCUCUGUGAAUGCUGACCAUGGCUGGUCUUUCUGCCCACCUGCCCCUUACAGAGCCUCCACUGUCAGAGGGUGCUGGAGUUCCCACCCUAUAUGAAUAGGGGUAAACAGAAGACCCGAGUGCCCACUACUCAUUGGAAAGCUCCACGUGAACAAUGAGUCUAAUCAAACCAACAAACCAAACCAAAUCACAAAUCCAGCAGAUCAUCCCCAUCUGGAAAGGUUUGUCUGAAACAAUUUUUGGCAUGGAAAAGUGCUCUAAGACAAACCUCUGGUUAACUUGGAAUUGAAGACCUUAAUGCAAUGGAGAGCAAUCUCAAUUUCUGAUGGAAAUGGCAGUGAGCAACCAAUUUUUAGCAGAUUUUCCUUUUUCAUCCAUGAAAGUCAGAGCAAAACUCACAGAAUCAAUGAGUCACAGAAUUGUAGGGGUUGGAAGGCAUCUCUGGAGAUCAUCUAGUCCAACUCCCUGAGAAAGCACAUUCCCUACAGUAGGCUCCACAGGAAAAUGUGCAGGUUUUGAGUAUCUCCAGAGAAAGAGACACCACAGCCUCUCCGGGCAGUAAAGAUCUGUUUUUCUCAUACUCUCAUGGAACUUCCUGUGUUUCAGUUUGUGCUUGCUGCCCCUUCUUUUGCUGGGCACUUCUGAAAAGGGCCUGGUCCUAUGCACCUGACUCCCACCAUACAUAUAAGCAUUGAUAAGUCCCCACCUUGGCCGUCUCCUGUCCAAGCUGAGCUGUCCCAGGGCUCUCAGCCUAAAACUCAGAAGAUAUGAGCUAAUGCAAAUUAAAACCAGGAAAGAAGCAUUUGUGGUGGCUGCAGAAACCACAGCAGAAGGAGCUGCAGAUCCCCCAGCACAAAGUUCCUGUGCUUCCCUCUGAGAAGGACACUGGGCUGUGAUCAGGAGGCAGAACUGCGCAGUCUUUGCUCUGGAACACCAAAAAAUAUCCAUAUUAUGUCAUGGAAUCUCACCUGUGUAAAGCUCCCUCUGCCCUUGUUCUCUGAGCUCAACUAUGAGAACCUGGCUCUGCUGGCGGUGUCUGCUGUGGCUCCUGGCCCAGACACAGGCUUGGUUUUGCCUUACCUGGGAAUUAGAAGAAUGGGAUGAAUAUGGGAGAGAAGAAGGGUCGAUGCCCCACACCUGUCAGGGUUUGAGAGGCAUUUGGAUAGAGCCUUCAAUAAUACACUUUAAGUUUUGGUUAGCCCUGGUGUGAUCAGACAGUUAGACUUGAUUAUCUUUGUAGAUCUCUUCCAACUGAGCUAUUCUCUCCUUUCUCUCUUCUCUCAUCUUCUCCUACCCUACUCUACCCUAUAUGGUUCAAGCCAUCUCUUGCCCUGAUGUGGAUUUGAGGCUAAUUUCCAUACCACUGAACUUCCUGCCCUUCUAGAAGAAGGACAUGAAUAACAUAAAAGCAAUGGAGGAUUUGUUGAAAGUAUUUCUGAAUGAUGCAGACCUCUUUUCUUGUCUGUUCUGUCUGCUUCUUACAAAGGCUCUGGCCAGGUUCACUGCCAGUGUGUUUUUUUUUUCCCUGUUACUACAUCACUGAACAAGCAUGGAAAAAAAAAAUGUCAUUUACUUGCUUUCUAGAUAUUAGCCAGGAGUGACAAUAAAUUUAAUGCAGAAGUUUGGGAUAAAGCAAAAACUAUUUCUGAGGGAUGACAGCAUGUGUGAAGCAUAAUGCUUGAGGCUUAGCAGUUAAAUUCUGAACCCAUGUGAUAUUAUGCUGCCCUAUGUCAUUAACAAGCUGUCAAAAUGACAGCAAACUGGAUUAUCUCCUUUGUAAUGCAGUCUGUUCAGCACAAAAUAAAUGACUGCUGACUUAUAACAAUGCGCAGCACCAUUAUAUUGAAACCAUGCUGUGACCAGAGGCAAUCCUACGUGGAAUUACCUUGGGAAAUGAAGCUGCAAUUAAUCUUUUCUAGCUACAUCUUACCCCAGGUUCUUCUUAUCCUAAUAAUCUAAUUAAAGAAUGCAUUAUUUCCAGUUUCGUACCAGCAUAACUUUCUUGAUGCGAUUGUAAGUAUACCGCUAGUGACUUGGGGUAACACAGGAGAGAAGCAAGGCAUGAAUACAUCCAGCACAACCACACCACCCUGGAUUUUUCCACUUGAGGAAUGUCUCUAAUGUACUCUCUGGGGACCAUCUUUGAGGAGAAAUCUGAAGUUUGACUCUGAUGCGAUCAGGCUGCAAUCCUAGCAGCUUUUGCUAUCAACCAAACCAACAGAAAUAAGGGGACGAUGAUAAUUCAUCUGAUAGCACCUGUUAGUUGUUUGACAGAGCCUCUGAUUUAUGUAAGAUCCAUAAAGCUACUUUGCAGAGAUGAUCACAAACUUGAACAUGGAAAUCCAGCUGAGGUUUAUCCAAGACUUAGCAGAAUAAGAUUCUUUCUCACACCAUUCAAACUAAAAGACAUGAAUUUAAGGAGUUGUUUGUUCAAGCCUCUAUAGAAUUUCUUAGAGCUUCCUUCAGUCUUUUUUUUUUUUUAAGCUACCAAGAUCAUUUUAAAUUCCAAUCCUCACCUUGAUGGACUGCAGGUCUUCCAGCUUUGUGUCUCUACAGAUCAACCAAAUGCUGUCUCUAUGUACUGACCCUCAACAUUGCUACUAAAGACAUGGAGAUGCAUCAGACCCAAUACACAGCACAAUCCUCCAGCUUGGCAAUGAACUGCAGAUGACUAUGCCAUUGAGCUGCCCCUUGAAAACACAUUUGCCUGAUAGGAGAGUGACAUAUGAGGUGGCAACAGAAAUGGGGUGGACUACCAGCAGCCUCAGAGGAAGGUUCCAGCUACGACAGAACCUUGCAGAGCACUUUGGUGGGCGCCUACUGGACUCUAUAUCCUGUAUUCACCUGGGACAACCAAAUGGUGUGGGGCAGAGGGAUGGAUGAUAUUCAUACUUCAAGCAAUGCCUCUACCUUGUAUUGGACUCAGAUCCAUUCUCUUGGAAGUCCCAGAAAGGUUGAGACUCGCUCUUCUUGCCACGAGGAUAGUCACAUAAACAGCUUCUCCAAAGACAACAACCACCUGUGGUUGUUUUACCUUUCCAGGAGAAUGAAGGCAGUGUUUCGUAUGUGAGUCAGGUGUGUAACACCAGGCAGGCCUAGGCAAGCAGACUGGGCUGUAUGUUUGCUACCUUUUUGGCCCUUCUAGGGAGUCUGAGCUCACACGCACGUGGGCCGCCUCUCACAGCAUCAGCCAGACCAUGGAUGCCUCCAAAUUUGGGAGGUGCAGGCUGCUGCUCACUGAGCAUGCUGGUGCUGGUUUCUAGUUUUGCUGCAGAUUCCUGUUGGAUGAGGAAGCAAAUUGUUCAGACUCUCUUCACUCUGGUUCCCUGUUUGUAAAAUAAAGCUCAUAGUAUUUUGCAUAUCCCUUUCAUCUCCCUGUUUUUGUUCAUGUGACCAAGCGAUGAAGCCAAGUCCCAGACUUCCUGCUGCCACAGCCCCUCUGUGGACCUCAUCUUGGGGACAAGAAUCUCCAAUGGAAGCCAGAUUUUGUGACUAGUCACCUCCACUGUUUGCACUGUGGAUAUGAAACCCCAUUUGUAUCUCUUGGCUCACACAGGGAGAGCAUGGAGAGUUCAGGAGGAACAAGGAAGGAAGAGUUGGGUUGAAAUUUCAGUUGUCGGCAAGACAAUGCUAAACUGCCUCCAGCCUGGCCUGUUCCUGUAAUCUGUUGCUGCAAAGGCACUGUGUAUCAAAACUGAUGUGAUCUGAGAGGGGAUCAGGAG
Molecule: long non-coding RNA, 4260 nt
Organism: Gallus gallus (chicken)
Lineage: Eukaryota; Metazoa; Chordata; Aves; Galliformes; Phasianidae
Source: Ensembl